This 756-nucleotide ribosomal RNA is filed under the name uncultured beta proteobacterium. RNAcentral describes it as "bacterial SSU rRNA". It matches the Rfam family "Bacterial small subunit ribosomal RNA", at positions 45 to 794 of the family's 1533-position model. The record is from RNAcentral. Lineage: Bacteria; Pseudomonadati; Pseudomonadota; Betaproteobacteria.
UGCUUUACACAUGCAAGUCGAACGGCAGCACGGGAGCUUGCUCCUGGUGGCGAGUGGCGAACGGGUGAGUAAUAUAUCGGAACGUAUCCAAUAAUGGGGGAUGACUAGUCGAAAGAUUAGCUAAUACCGCAUACGCCCUGAGGGGGAAAGCUGGGGAUCUUCGGACCUAGCGUUAAUGGAGCGGCCGAUAUCUGAUUAGCUAGUAGGUGAGGUAAAGGCUCACCUAGGCUUCGAUCAGUAGCUGGUCUGAGAGGACGACCAGCCACACUGGAACUGAGACACGGUCCAGACUCCUACGGGAGGCAGCAGUGGAGAAUUUUGGACAAUGGGCGCAAGCCUGAUCCAGCCAUUCCGCGUGAGUGAAGAAGGCCUUCGGGUUGUAAAGCUCUUUCGCAAGGGAAGAAAACUUAACCUCUAACAUAGGUUGAGGCUGACGGCACCUUGAUAAGAAGCACCGGCUAACUACGUGCCAGCAGCCGCGGUAAUACGUAGGGUGCGAGCGUUAAUCGGAAUUACUGGGCGUAAAGCGUGCGCAGGCGGCAUGAUAAGUCAGAUGUGAAAUCCCCGAGCUCAACUUGGGAACUGCGUUUGAAACUAUCAAGCUAGAAUAUGUCAGAGGGGGGUAGAAUUCCACGUGUAGCAGUGAAAUGCGUAGAGAUGUGGAGGAAUACCAAUGGCGAAGGCACCCCCUGGGAUAAUAUUGACGCUCAUGCACGAAAAGCGUGGGGAGCAAACAGGAUUAGAUACCCUGGUAGU